CCUACGGGAGGCAGCAGUCGAGAAUCAUUCACAAUGGGGGCAACCCUGAUGGUGCGACGCCGCGUGGGGGAAUGAAGGUCUUCGAAUUGUAAACCCCUGUCAUGUGGGAGCAAAUUAAAAAGAUAGUACCACAAGAGGAAGAGACGGCUAACUCUGGGCCAGCAGCCGAGGUAAUACAGAGGUCUCAAGCGUUGUUCGGAAUCACUGGGCGUAAAGCGUGCGUAGGCUGUUUCGUAAGUCGUGUGUGAAAGGCGCGGGCUCAACCCGCGGAAGGCACAUGAUACUGCGAGACUAGAGUAAUGGAGGGGGAACCGGAAUUCUCGGUGUAGCAGUGAAAUGCGUAGAUAUCGAGAGGAACACUCGUGGCGAAGGCGGGUUCCUGGACAUUAACUGACGCUGAGGCACGAAGGCCAGGGGAGCGAAAGGGAUUAGAUACCCCUGUAGUC
This 446-nucleotide ribosomal RNA is filed under the name uncultured bacterium. RNAcentral's name for it is "partial 16S ribosomal RNA". It matches the Rfam family "Bacterial small subunit ribosomal RNA", at positions 338 to 795 of the family's 1533-position model. The record is from RNAcentral.